This 253-nucleotide ribosomal RNA is filed under the name uncultured bacterium. RNAcentral's name for it is "partial 16S ribosomal RNA". It matches the Rfam family "Bacterial small subunit ribosomal RNA", at positions 524 to 776 of the family's 1533-position model. The record is from RNAcentral.
UACGUAGGGGGCAAGCGUUGUCCGGAAUCAUUGGGCGUAAAGAGCGUGUAGGCGGUUCGAUAAGUCUGCUGUGAAAGUCCAGGGCUCAACCCUGGGAUGCCGGUGGAUACUGUCGAGCUAGAGUACGGAAGAGGCGAGUGGAAUUCCCGGCGUAGCGGUGAAAUGCGCAGAUAUCAGGAGGAACACCAAUGGCGAAGGCAGCUCGCUGGAACGGUACUGACGCUGAGGCGCGAAAGCGUGGGGAGCAAACAGG